RNAcentral lists this ribosomal RNA (446 nucleotides) under uncultured bacterium. RNAcentral describes it as "partial 16S ribosomal RNA". It matches the Rfam family "Bacterial small subunit ribosomal RNA", at positions 338 to 795 of the family's 1533-position model. The record is from RNAcentral.
CCUACGGGUGGCAGCAGUCGAGAAUCAUUCACAAUGGGGGAAACCCUGAUGGUGCGACGCCGCGUGGGGGAAUGAAGGUCUUCGUAUUGUAAACCCCUUCCAUGUGGGAGCAAAUUAGAAAGAUAGUACCACAAGAGGAAGAGACGGCUAACUCGGUGCCAGCAGCCGCGGUAAUACAGAGGGCGCAAUCGUUGUUCGGAAUGACUGGGCGUAAAGCGUGCGCAGGCGGUUUCGUAAGACGUGUGCGAAAGGCGCGGGCGCAACCCCCGGACGGCACAUGAUACUGGGGGACUAGAGUGAUGGAGGGGGAACCGGAAUUCUCGGUGUAGCAGUGAAAUGCGUAGAUAUUGGGAGGAACACUCGUGGCGAAGGCGGGUUCCUGGACAUUAACUGACGCUGAGGCUCGAAGGCGAGGGGAGCGAAAGGGAUUAGAUACCCUUGUAGUC